This 560-nucleotide ribosomal RNA is filed under the name Rhodobacter sp. S2.2. RNAcentral's name for it is "bacterial SSU rRNA". It matches the Rfam family "Bacterial small subunit ribosomal RNA", at positions 337 to 915 of the family's 1533-position model. The record is from RNAcentral. Lineage: Bacteria; Pseudomonadati; Pseudomonadota; Alphaproteobacteria; Rhodobacterales.
UCCUACGGGAGGCAGCAGUGGGGAAUCUUAGACAAUGGGGGAAACCCUGAUCUAGCCAUGCCGCGUGAGUGAUGAAGGCCUUAGGGUUGUAAAGCUCUUUCAGUGGGGAAGAUAAUGACGGUACCCACAGAAGAAGCCCCGGCUAACUCCGUGCCAGCAGCCGCGGUAAUACRGAGGGGGCUAGCGUUAUUCGGAAUUACUGGGCGUAAAGCGCACGUAGGCGGAUUGGAAAGUUGGGGGUGAAAUCCCAGGGCUCAACCCUGGAACUGCCUUCAAAACUCCCAGUCUUGAGGUCGAGAGAGGUGAGUGGAAUUCCGAGUGUAGAGGUGAAAUUCGUAGAUAUUCGGAGGAACACCAGUGGCGAAGGCGGCUCACUGGCUCGAUACUGACGCUGAGGUGCGAAAGCGUGGGGAGCAAACRGGAUUAGAUACCCUGGUAGUCCACGCCGUAAACGAUGAAUGCCAGUCGUCGGGCAGCAUGCUGUUCGGUGACACACCUAACGGAUUAAGCAUUCCGCCUGGGGAGUACGGCCGCAAGGUUAAAACUCAAAGGAAUUGACG